GUUGUAGCUCAAUGGUAGAGCACUCGCCUAGCAUGUGUGAGGCACUGGGUUUGAUUCUCAGCAAC
RNAcentral lists this transfer RNA (65 nucleotides) under Ictidomys tridecemlineatus (thirteen-lined ground squirrel). RNAcentral describes it as "Spermophilus tridecemlineatus (thirteen-lined ground squirrel) tRNA". It matches the Rfam family "tRNA". From Rfam's summary of the family: Transfer RNA (tRNA) molecules are approximately 80 nucleotides in length. Their secondary structure includes four short double-helical elements and three loops (D, anti-codon, and T loops). The record is from Rfam by way of RNAcentral. Lineage: Eukaryota; Metazoa; Chordata; Mammalia; Rodentia; Sciuridae.